Molecule: ribosomal RNA, 796 nt
Filed under: Pantoea ananatis
Lineage: Bacteria; Pseudomonadati; Pseudomonadota; Gammaproteobacteria; Enterobacterales; Erwiniaceae
Description: bacterial SSU rRNA
Rfam family: Bacterial small subunit ribosomal RNA
Source: RNAcentral
GAAUUACUGGGCGUAAAGCGCACGCAGGCGCUCUGUUAAGUCAGAUGUAAAAUCCCCGGGCUUAACCUGGGAACUGCAUUUGAAACUGGCAGGCUUGAGUCUCGUAGAGGGGGGUAGAAUUCCAGGUGGAGCGGUGAAAUGCGUAGAGAUCUGGAGGAAUACCGGUGGCGAAGGCGCCCCCCUGGACGAAGACUGACGCUCAGGUGCGAAAGCGUGGGGAGCAAACAGGAUUAGAUACCUUGGUAGUCCACGCCGUAAACGAUGUCGACUUGGAGGUUGUUCCCUUGAGGAGUGGCUUCCGGAGCUAACGCGUUAAGUCGACCGCCUGGGGAGUACGGGCGCAAGGUUAAAACUCAAAUGAAUUGACGGGGGCCCGCACAAGCGGUGGAGCAUGUGGUUUAAUUCGAUGCAACGCGAAGAACCUUACCUACUCUUGACAUCCAGAGAACUUAGCAGAGAUGCUUUGGUGCCUUCGGGAGCUCUGAGACAGGUGCUGCAUGGCUGUCGUCAGCUCGUGUUGUGAAAUGUUGGGUUAAGUCCCGCAACGAGCGCAACCCUUAUCCUUUGUUGCCAGCGAUUCGGUCGGGAACUCAAAGGAGACUGCCGGUGAUAAACCGGAGGAAGGUGGGGAUGACGUCAAGUCAUCAUGGCCCUUACGAGUAGGGCUACACACGUGCUACAAUGGCGCAUACAAAGAGAAGCGACCUCGCGAGAGCAAGCGGACCUCAUAAAGUGCGUCGUAGUCCGGAUCGGAGUCUGCAACUCGACUCCGUGAAGUCGGAAUCGCUAGUAAUCG